CUGCUUAGUUAAGCUCAGCUCCAAAUGGAGUCAGAGCUGGGCGCAAAUAACUCAGCAUCUCAGCCUUUUUUCUUAAACAUCACAACCACCAGCAGCCUGGAUAGUGAAGAUGGCAACAACUAGCUUUGCCCUUUUUGCCUGCUCAACUUUUUAAAAAUAUGCUUUUUGGGCCAAAUUUCAAGUUACAAAUUUUUUCCCUCAGAUGCAUGCGAAAAGUCUUCAUUUGAAAGUUUGCUAAGCAACAAAUCCUUCAAAUAGAACAGGUUGCAACUCUGCUCUGCCUGGAAAGAACACGUUCAUCAGCCUUGGCUGGGUGAGGACAUGGACAGAUGUUUUGUUCCAGAUACAGCUGUGCAGAGGAAAGAGGUUUUCCAUCCACAGCCAGGAAGAAAUUGGAGAGCUGCUUCAUCAGAGCAAAUCCCUCCUGUGGUUGUUCUCAUGGAAAGGAUCAUAUUGAUGAAUCAGUGCAGCUACCCUCUCAGCCAUGGAAGAGUACCUCACACCAAAAAAUCCAUAGGUGACUAAUAGCUGUGCAGAAAAUGAAUUGCUAAAUGAAGUUUGUCAUCUGGGAUAUUCCUGCACAUCUGAUCCCCUUCCAUGGAGUGCCCAAAGAGAACUACUGUGCCAGAGAGCAGAGCACAUUUCAAAGGAUUCACGGGAUUUCUGAUGGCAGACAUCAAACAAAACGGGCAUUGUUUCACAGAUACACAAAGUAGUAGAGAAAGGGAAGUGGAAACUUCAGCAACGUCCCCCACAGAAACAACAGAACGUACAGCAAGUUAUGCGGUAGAUUCAACUGCAGAUUGCGUUACCUCACCAGCAGUGCGAGAGCAGAGGAAACCUAAACCCUGUGUAACCAGUGCUCAGUGUUUCCUAUUGCAGCCAGCACGCUGCAUCGACUUUUUGGAAGGAACUGAACGUAACUAAAACCUCGAAGACGUGCGCGGCACGAGCGGCUUUUCUUCAUCUUACUGUGGGGAGAAGAAGGAACAGGAGCGCAAUUUCAGCUCCUCAGAGGCUCCAGCUCUACUCUGAUGCUGUCCAGGUGAAAGACAGCCAUUCCUAUUGGUUAUAACAGCAGUCCCUGGGCUUGGAGCACAUUUAACACCGAGAUGUCUGCAGUAACACCUCCCAGCUUGUAGCCCAGGUGCCGCACACACGCCCCUGCGCUGGAUAUUGCAGUGAUCUCACAGUCCACUUGCAGAUGGUUCCUCCUGUCCUUUGAGCUGGUUGGAAGAUAAACUUUGGUCAGUGUAUUGUACCGUGCCCUUUGUAAUGAAAUAACGUUGGGUAAUAUGAAUUUAGUGGUGGGAUUUAAAUUCCCGAGCUGAUUACAAGGAGCUGCUAAGACUUGAAAGGUUUAGCAGUGCCCCGUGUGCGAGUGUGGAAUGAUGUGUACUGUCGCAGCGCUUGUGCUCUCUCUG
Molecule: long non-coding RNA, 1424 nt
Organism: Hirundo rustica (Barn swallow)
Lineage: Eukaryota; Metazoa; Chordata; Aves; Passeriformes; Hirundinidae
Exons: 5
Source: RefSeq, a predicted model, not a curated record